UUGCGCCUGCGAAGGACAUAGCGGGCCCUCAUCAUAGUCUUGCAGGCGACUGGGCACCGUACGGUCUCGUGAUCCACAAAUUGUGGAUUCAAACCA
RNAcentral lists this small RNA (96 nucleotides) under uncultured Prevotella sp. RNAcentral describes it as "RT-5 RNA". It matches the Rfam family "RT-5 RNA". From Rfam's summary of the family: Clostridium (Firmicutes). Environment (Cow rumen (57)) The record is from RNAcentral. Lineage: Bacteria; Pseudomonadati; Bacteroidota; Bacteroidia; Bacteroidales; Prevotellaceae.